GGACAUGGGGAAUCUGGCUUGACACGUCACCCCACAGAUCCUCAGGUUCAUCUAGCUGAUCUGGCUGGUGUAGGUGGCAGCCGUAUCCCUCACUGCCCCAGAAGGUCUAUCUCAAGGUUGUACAUAUAAUGGAAUACAAUGACAUUUCCAAGAGGCACAUAAAUGAUUCUUUUGCCAAAAGGAUUUACCAGUAGCCGACUAGAAUAUUUAAUUUCACCCCAAGAAAUUACAACAGUGCAUUUAGACCUUUAUGUCACACCAUACACAAAAAUUAACUCAAAAUAGAUCAUAGAUCUAAAUGU
This 302-nucleotide small RNA is filed under the name Sus scrofa (pig). RNAcentral's name for it is "7SK RNA (ENSSSCG00070005340.1)". Lineage: Eukaryota; Metazoa; Chordata; Mammalia; Artiodactyla; Suidae. The record is from RNAcentral.